This 498-nucleotide ribosomal RNA is filed under the name uncultured bacterium. Its description in RNAcentral is "partial 16S ribosomal RNA". It matches the Rfam family "Bacterial small subunit ribosomal RNA", at positions 29 to 507 of the family's 1533-position model. The record is from RNAcentral.
ACGAACGCUGGCGGCGUGCCUAAUACAUGCAAGUCGAGCGAAUCUGAUGGGAGCUUGCUCCUUGAUGAUUAGCGGCGGACGGGUGAGUAACACGUGGGUAACCUGCCUGUAAGACUGGGAUAACUCCGGGAAACCGGGGCUAAUACCGGAUAACUUUUUUCUUCGCAUGAGGGAGAAUUGAAAGAUGGCUUCGGCUAUCACUUACAGAUGGACCCGCGGCGCAUUAGCUAGUUGGUGAGGUAACGGCUCACCAAGGCGACGAUGCGUAGCCGACUUGAGAGGGUGAUCGGCCACACUGGGACUGAGACACGGCCCAGACUCCUACGGGAGGCAGCAGUAGGGAAUCUUCCGCAAUGGACGAAAGUCUGACGGAGCAACGCCGCGUGAGUGAUGAAGGUUUUCGGAUCGUAAAACUCUGUUGUUAGGGAAGAACAAGUAUCGUUCGAAUAGGGCGGUACCUUGACGGUACCUAACCAGAAAGCCACGGCUAACUACGUG